RNAcentral lists this ribosomal RNA (260 nucleotides) under uncultured bacterium. Its description in RNAcentral is "partial 16S ribosomal RNA". The record is from RNAcentral.
CUGCUGCCUCCCGUAGGAGUCUGGUCCGUGUCUCAGUACCAGUGUGGGGGACCUUCCUCUCAGAACCCCUAGACAUCGUCGCCUUGGUGGGCCGUUGCCCCGCCAACUAGCUAAUGUCACGCAUGCCCAUCCGUUGCCGGAAUCGGCUCCCUUUGGCCGCAGGGCCAUGCAGCCCCGCGGCGUUACGCGGUAUUAGACGGGAUUUCUCCCGAUUAUCCCCCUGCAACGGGCAGGUCGCAUACGCGUUACUCACCCGUGCG